This 1437-nucleotide ribosomal RNA is filed under the name Salmonella enterica. RNAcentral's name for it is "partial 23S ribosomal RNA". It matches the Rfam family "Bacterial large subunit ribosomal RNA", at positions 1382 to 2802 of the family's 2925-position model. Lineage: Bacteria; Pseudomonadati; Pseudomonadota; Gammaproteobacteria; Enterobacterales; Enterobacteriaceae. The record is from RNAcentral.
AGUCGACCCCUAAGGCGAGGCCGAAAGGCGUAGUCGAUGGGAAACGGGUUAAUAUUCCCGUACUUGGUGUUACUGCGAAGGGGGGACGGAGAAGGCUAUGUUGGCCGGGCGACGGUUGUCCCGGUUUAAGCGUGUAGGUGUGUGUUCCAGGUAAAUCCGGUUCACUUUAACACUGAGGCGUGACGACGAGGCACUACGGUGCUGAAGCAACAAAUGCCCUGCUUCCAGGAAAAGCCUCUAAGCAUCAGGUAACAUCAAAUCGUACCCCAAACCGACACAGGUGGUCAGGUAGAGAAUACCAAGGCGCUUGAGAGAACUCGGGUGAAGGAACUAGGCAAAAUGGUGCCGUAACUUCGGGAGAAGGCACGCUGACACGUAGGUGAAGUGAUUUACUCAUGGAGCUGAAGUCAGUCGAAGAUACCAGCUGGCUGCAACUGUUUAUUAAAAACACAGCACUGUGCAAACACGAAAGUGGACGUAUACGGUGUGACGCCUGCCCGGUGCCGGAAGGUUAAUUGAUGGGGUCAGCGCAAGCGAAGCUCCUGAUCGAAGCCCCGGUAAACGGCGGCCGUAACUAUAACGGUCCUAAGGUAGCGAAAUUCCUUGUCGGGUAAGUUCCGACCUGCACGAAUGGCGUAAUGAUGGCCAGGCUGUCUCCACCCGAGACUCAGUGAAAUUGAACUCGCUGUGAAGAUGCAGUGUACCCGCGGCAAGACGGAAAGACCCCGUGAACCUUUACUAUAGCUUGACACUGAACAUUGAGCCUUGAUGUGUAGGAUAGGUGGGAGGCUUUGAAGUGUGGACGCCAGUCUGCAUGGAGCCGACCUUGAAAUACCACCCUUUAAUGUUUGAUGUUCUAACGUGGACCCGUUACCCGGGUUGCGGACAGUGUCUGGUGGGUAGUUUGACUGGGGCGGUCUCCUCCUAAAGAGUAACGGAGGAGCACGAAGGUUGGCUAAUCCUGGUCGGACAUCAGGAGGUUAGUGCAAUGGCAUAAGCCAGCUUGACUGCGAGCGUGACGGCGCGAGCAGGUGCGAAAGCAGGUCAUAGUGAUCCGGUGGUUCUGAAUGGAAGGGCCAUCGCUCAACGGAUAAAAGGUACUCCGGGGAUAACAGGCUGAUACCGCCCAAGAGUUCAUAUCGACGGCGGUGUUUGGCACCUCGAUGUCGGCUCAUCACAUCCUGGGGCUGAAGUAGGUCCCAAGGGUAUGGCUGUUCGCCAUUUAAAGUGGUACGCGAGCUGGGUUUAGAACGUCGUGAGACAGUUCGGUCCCUAUCUGCCGUGGGCGCUGGAGAACUGAGGGGGGCUGCUCCUAGUACGAGAGGACCGGAGUGGACGCAUCACUGGUGUUCGGGUUGUCAUGCCAAUGGCACUGCCCGGUAGCUAAAUGCGGAAGAGAUAAGUGCUGAAAGCAUCUAAGCACGAAACUUGCCCCGA